GUGGGGAAUAUUGGGCAAUGGGGGAAACCCUGACCCAGCGACGCCGCGUGAGGGAAGACGGCCUUCGGGUUGUAAACCUCUUUUGUACGGGAAGAAGGAAGUGACGGUACUGUACGAAUAAGUCCCGGCUAACUACGUGCCAGCAGCCGCGGUAAUACGUAGGGGACGAGCGUUGUCCGGAAUUACUGGGCGUAAAGGGCGCGCAGGCUGUGCUGCAAGUCAGCUGUGAAAUGUCUGGGCUUAACCCGGGCAUGCGGUUGAGACUGCAGUGCUGGAGUGCUGUAGAGGCAAGUGGAAUUCCCAGUGUAGCGGUGAAAUGCGUAGAUAUUGGGAAGAACACCGGUGGCGAAGGCGACUUGCUGGGCAGCAACUGACGCUGAGGCGCGAAAGCCAGGGGAGCAAACGGGAUUAGAAACCCCUGUAGUCC
This 427-nucleotide ribosomal RNA is filed under the name uncultured bacterium. RNAcentral's name for it is "partial 16S ribosomal RNA". It matches the Rfam family "Bacterial small subunit ribosomal RNA", at positions 354 to 796 of the family's 1533-position model. The record is from RNAcentral.